UUUGUCUGAGAAGUUGCCUGCUAAGGAUUUUGAGACUAUUCCCACUUGUAAGAAUAAUAAGGGGUGCCAAGAUUCUCUCCUUUCUUCAAUAUGAUGAGUUCAAAGAUCAUCCUGUUUACUUCAAAUGUGAAAUCAGAAAGAUUCAAGCAGAGAAGGUUUUUCUUAUAUCUAUUAGACAUAUUGCUGUUGAUGGGAAGUUGAGAAGUCAGUAUGUACAACAGAUUUCUUCCAUGUUCAGUUAUCGUCUGAGAUGUUGUCUAAGGAAUUUGAGGCUAUUCCUACUGUAAGAAUGAAUAAAGGAUGCCAAAAUUACCUCCUUGAUUCAGUAUAAAAUGAAGUUCCAAUCCUCAUAAGCAUUUA
This is a non-coding RNA of Nicotiana tabacum (common tobacco), 360 nucleotides long. NCBI's taxonomy places the organism in Eukaryota, Viridiplantae, Streptophyta, Magnoliopsida, Solanales, Solanaceae. The record is from RefSeq and is a predicted model, not a curated record.